AUGGAGGAGGAAAAUUUGCAGCCUUCCUCUAAUGAUGAACAUGAAGAUUCCCUUUCAUUUAUUUUUGAUCCAAGAACAUGGGAAGUUCUUGACAAUAGCAAAAGGGAUAUUUUAAUUGAGAAGGGACCUAUUAGAGUACCGGAUCUGGAGUUCGAGAAGGACACCAUUGGUAGACAUUUUUCAUAUGCUUUUUACUCCAGGAAGUUAAGUAAUGGUGAGUUUGUUGACAGAAAGUGGUUGGUUUACCACAAAGGUGCAAACAAAGUAUAUUGUUUUUGUUGCAAGUUGUUCAAAUCAAAACUAAGCAAGUCUAUGCUGGCAUCUGAUGGAUUGAAUGACUGGAAGCGUUUGAGUGCGCGUCUCAAAGAUCAUGAGAACAGUGUUGAGCAUUUGACAAACAUGAAUACAUGGAAUGAAGUUAGGUUGAGACUAAGCAAAAAUCAGACAAUUGAUGAUGAUAUGCAAAGGGGGAUGGCAAAGGAGAAGGAGGUUAGACAAGUUCUGGUAAGAAUAGUUUCAGCUGUGAAGUUUAUUGCAAAACAUACUUUGGCUUUUCGUGGAUCAAAUGAGAAGUUGUAUCAAGAUAAUAAUGGUAAUUUUUUGAGCACGAUUGAAAUGAUUGUUGAAUUUGAUCAUGUUAUGCAAGAACACAUUCGGUGUAUUCAAAAUAGUGAAAUCCAUCAUCAUUAUCUUGGCCACAAAAUCCAGAACGAGUUGAUCUCAGUUCUUGCUAAUGCCGUGAGAAAUGUAAUUUUAAAGAUCAUCAAAGAUGCCAAGUAUUUUUCAGUUAUUUUGGAUUGUACCCCGGAUGUGAGCCAUGAAGAACAAAUGAGUCUCAUUGUGCGUUGUGUCAAUAUGUCAAGCAACCUUCCGAGAGUGGAGGAGCUUUUCCUAGAGUUCCUAAAGGUUGAGGACACAUCGAGGUUGGGGCUUUUGAAGGUAUUGGUGGAUACAUUGAGUUUUUUUAUUUGA
This 972-nucleotide ribosomal RNA is filed under the name Triticum aestivum (bread wheat). RNAcentral describes it as "partial small subunit ribosomal RNA". Lineage: Eukaryota; Viridiplantae; Streptophyta; Magnoliopsida; Poales; Poaceae. The record is from RNAcentral.